AGAGAAAAAAGCAAGAAAAAAAAUUAAGAGUGAGAAAGUUCUCUAGUUAUCUUAAGUUCUUUAAAUUUCUUAGUUUCAAAAGUUUGUAAGUUACUUUUAAAAAAAAGAGUAUGUGAAAAGUGUGAAAAGUUUUCUUAGUUCUUCAUUUUUCGGUAGCUGUCAAGUUUUUAGGGAACUCCCGAAAGGGAAACCUCACUUCUUCCUUAGGACAUGUAAAUAGUAGUUACAUAGGUCUUUGUAUUUAUCUCUCAAGUUUGUAAAUUAUGUUUAAAUUAAUCAAGAUUAUAUUUUCCUUCACAUGUAUUUUAUUAAGAUUCGGAUCGCCGGCGGUUUUCCGCCGGUUUUCUGAUCUUGCAAAAUUUGUAAAUUACUUAUAAAAAUACCCUUAGUAUAUGAUUAUUCUCUCAGUGUUUUAGUAAUAACGAUGGUUUAAUAUGUAAAUUUUUAGGGACUUGAAAAGUCCGAAGAAGAUGAAAAAAGGA
Molecule: long non-coding RNA, 482 nt
Filed under: Capsicum annuum
Lineage: Eukaryota; Viridiplantae; Streptophyta; Magnoliopsida; Solanales; Solanaceae
Description: long non-coding RNA (CANN_LNC018827)
Source: RNAcentral